UGGGGAAUAUUGCACAAUGGGCGCAAGCCUGAUGCAGCAACGCCGCGUGAACGAUGAAGGUCUUCGGAUCGUAAAGUUCUGUUGCAGGGGAAGAUAAUGACGGUACCCUGUGAGGAAGCCCCGGCUAACUACGUGCCAGCAGCCGCGGUAAUACGUAGGGGGCUAGCGUUAUCCGGAUUUACUGGGCGUAAAGGGUGCGUAGGUGGUCUUUCAAGUCGGUGGUUAAAGGCUACGGCUCAACCGUAGUUAGCCUCCGAAACUGGAAGACUUGAGUGCAGGAGAGGAAAGUGGAACUCCAUGUGUAGCGGUGGAAUGCGUAGAUAUAUGGAAGAACACCAGUGGCGAAAGCGACUUUCUGGUCUGUCACUGACGCUGAGGCCCGAAAGCGUGGGUAGCAAACAGG
RNAcentral lists this ribosomal RNA (403 nucleotides) under Verrucomicrobiota bacterium. Its description in RNAcentral is "Verrucomicrobia bacterium partial 16S ribosomal RNA". It matches the Rfam family "Bacterial small subunit ribosomal RNA", at positions 355 to 776 of the family's 1533-position model. Lineage: Bacteria; Pseudomonadati; Verrucomicrobiota. The record is from RNAcentral.